Papilio polytes (common Mormon) is the source of this 787-nucleotide long non-coding RNA. RefSeq lists it as uncharacterized. The record is from RefSeq and is a predicted model, not a curated record. Lineage: Eukaryota; Metazoa; Arthropoda; Insecta; Lepidoptera; Papilionidae. The transcript is spliced from 3 exons.
UUUAUUACAUGUUAAAGAAAACUUUGUAUAUAUUAAUAAUGAGGCUAGUAUAUUAUAUAUAUCGGACAUGGAACUUUCUUUUAUGUUAGAUUUCGUAUCCGGCUCUCAUUAGGUCGCUUUUGUAAAACAAAUAUUGAACGUUUCUCGACAAAUCGUUUCCGAACGUGCGAACGAGCUGUCACUUUGACAUGAUAAACAUUUGUUGACGUUUGAAUUUUUAAAGACAUUUAAUUAUGUUUUCGCAUUUUUAUAAAUUCAGUUAUUAUUUCUUUAUUAUAAUUAUUGUUGUGAGAUGUGUUAGUAACGCACAUUCAGUAUCUAUUUAUAAGUAAACAGCAGGCGUACGCAACAUUUGGCGAGCGAUCCAAGUUCGAUUACCAAUUUAGGACCUUGAGUGCGGUUGAGGCUGUUUGCCACUCGAUUGCUUAUUAUAAAUUUCACCGUUAUGAAAUGUUGCGUUACUGAAACGACGUAUAUUGCUAAAUGAUCUAUGUCUGACGAGAUAUUAGACCAAUAGACAUUAUAUUUUUAAUUUUAAACAAAGAUAGUCAACAAAACAUAUUUGUAUUACAAAACCAACGGGCGGAAUUACAAUGUACAAUAUUUGUGUCAACUAUGUACCCGAACAACACUAAUUACCAGGGCAACCAGUGCACUGCACAUAGAUCUGGCGUUGAACGGACAAACAUUGCAUGCCCUUAUAGACGGGACAAUUUGAGACCUUACCAUAUGGCAAGUUACUUUUUAAAGUAUAAUUAUUUAGAGAUUGGUACAGUUUUUAGCGUUA